This 460-nucleotide ribosomal RNA is filed under the name uncultured bacterium. Its description in RNAcentral is "partial 16S ribosomal RNA". It matches the Rfam family "Bacterial small subunit ribosomal RNA", at positions 338 to 795 of the family's 1533-position model. The record is from RNAcentral.
CCUACGGGUGGCAGCAGUGAGGAAUAUUGGUCAAUGGACGAGAGUCUGAACCAGCCAAGUAGCGUGAAGGAUGACUGCCCUGUGGGUUGUAGACUUCUUUUAUCAGGGAAUAAAACGCGGCACGUGUGCCUUUUUGCAUGUACUUUAUGAAUAAGGAUCGGCUAACUCCGUGCCAGCAGCCGCGGUAAUACGGAGGAUCCGAGCGUUAUCCGGAUUUAUUGGGUUUAAAGGGUGCGUAGAUGGGUUGUUAAGUCAGUUGUGAAAGUUUGCGGCUCAACCGUAAAAUUGCAAUUGAUACUGGCAGUCUUGAGUACAGUUGAGGUAGGCGGAAUGCGUGGUGUAGCGGUGAAAUGCAUAGAUAUCACGAAGAACCCCGAUUGCGAAGGCAGCGUACUAAGCGGUGACUGACGUUGAGGCACGAAAGUGUGGGGAUCAAACAGGAUUAGAUACCCUGGUAGUC